Molecule: ribosomal RNA, 490 nt
Filed under: uncultured bacterium
Lineage: Bacteria
Description: partial 16S ribosomal RNA
Rfam family: Bacterial small subunit ribosomal RNA
Source: RNAcentral
AUUGAACGCUGGCGGCAUGCCUUACACAUGCAAGUCGAACGGCAUCGCGGGAAAGCUUGCUUUCCUGGCGGCGAGUGGCGAACGGGUGAGUAACACAUCGGAACGUACCGGCUAGUGGGGGAUAACCCGUCGAAAGACGGGCUAAUACCGCAUACGCUCUUCGGAGGAAAGCAGGGGACCUUUGGGCCUUGCGCUAGCCGAGCGGCCGAUGUCCGAUUAGCUAGUUGGUGGGGUAAAGGCCUACCAAGGCGACGAUCGGUAGCGGGUCUGAGAGGACGAUCCGCCACACUGGGACUGAGACACGGCCCAGACUCCUACGGGAGGCAGCAGUGGGGAAUCUUGGACAAUGGGGGCAACCCAGAUCCAGCAAUGCCGCGUGGGUGAAGAAGGCCUUCGGGUUGUAAAGCCCUUUCGGCAGGGAAGAAAUCGGCGGGGCGAAUAACCCUGCUGGAUGACGGUACCUGCAGAAGAAGCACCGGCUAACUACGUG